Long non-coding RNA from Triticum dicoccoides, 1130 nucleotides. RefSeq lists it as uncharacterized. The record is from RefSeq and is a predicted model, not a curated record. NCBI's taxonomy places the organism in Eukaryota, Viridiplantae, Streptophyta, Magnoliopsida, Poales, Poaceae. The transcript has 3 exons.
CAGGAGCUUCUCCAUGCCACGUGCAGGUCAUGGGCUGCCGUCGCCGCCUAGGAAGGCAGCUCCACCGUGCACUGGCGGAGGGAGAAGCCCCGUGUUUCCAGUUGGUCCAGGGCCGCGCCACCACACGCUGGGGGAUAGUGGUCGAGGGCAUCGCCUUGCCGUUGUCAUGGUCCGCGACUUCGCCGAGGUCGCCGCCUGCGCGUGCAGGCUGCGGUCCUCAGGCACUCUGCUCUUAGAGCCGCCUCUGCGCCGGAGGACGUCGACAUGCCACGCAUCGGAAGUCGAGGCCGAGCCAAGUGGCAAGGGGGCGCCAACACACCGCGUGCUGUGGAGCGCCGGGCGGUUGACGGCCACUUUCGGGAGCGUCAUCCUGCGCGUCUCCGUGUGAUGGAGGCAGGGAGUCGGAGUCGAGCGCCUGAGGGCCCGCCACCGUUUACGAUGCCAGAGGUCAAGCCGAGGCCAGACGAAGCCGAUGCCGUCGUCGUUCACGUUCUUGAUGGCGACAAGCGCCACCACCAAAUCCAAUGACGAUGGGUAUCGCUCUCGAAGAGGCAGUUAGUAUUCGAGAAAGAAGAGGCAGUUAGAGAUCGAGAGAUUUCUGUCUUGGCCGUGCACGGGGCGAGUCUGCCGCUUGGAAGCUUUUCCGCCGGGGUGAGGGCCACCGCGGUAGCGGGCAACAGGCCGAACCGAGGGCUGCAGUCGUAGAACUCGCAAGCGAUGUCGUAGCCAGUCGUCGAUGGGAUCGCUCCACCGGAAGCGUGCUGAUAACGUGUUGAAAGGGAAACGAGAGACAAUCCAGAGAGCCUUGGCACAGAUGUGAAAGUGAAUCGUCGUUCUCAUUGAUGAUGACAUUUACACAUAUAUAUAGCCCCGAAGAGCGGAGAAGAUCAAAAUGGAAGUCACCCGGCCGGGACGCGAAAUCUGCACGGUGACGGGCUGCUCUAAUUUUGCGGCGUGGGUGGCGUGGCUGAUACUAGAUUCCAAUCUUGUCCCUCCGCCCUCCAGGGAGGAGAAGAGAGGCAACCAAGUGAUGAUACAAUUUUAUUCAGGUUCGUUUUGCAAUAAUUUUUGUGGAACAUGGUUAUGUGCAAGACGCUCUCAGGUGUAAUCUCUUGCGGGAAACUAUAAGA